UGGGGAAUAUUGCACAAUGGGCGCAAGCCUGAUGCAGCCAUGCCGCGUGUGUGAAGAAGGCCUUCGGGUUGUAAAGCACUUUCAGCGAGGAGGAAGGUGGUGAGCUUAAUACGCUCAUCAAUUGACGUUACUCGCAGAAGAAGCACCGGCUAACUCCGUGCCAGCAGCCGCGGUAAUACGGAGGGUGCAAGCGUUAAUCGGAAUUACUGGGCGUAAAGCGCACGCAGGCGGUUUGUUAAGUCAGAUGUGAAAUCCCCGGGCUCAACCUGGGAACUGCAUUUGAAACUGGCAAGCUAGAGUCUCGUAGAGGGGGGUAGAAUUCCAGGUGUAGCGGUGAAAUGCGUAGAGAUCUGGAGGAAUACCGGUGGCGAAGGCGGCCCCCCUGGACGAAGACUGACGCUCAGGUGCGAAAGCGUGGGGCAGCAAACAGGAUUAGAUACCCUGGUAGUCCAGCGCUGUAAACGAUGUCGAUUUGGAGGUUGUGCCCUUGAGGCGUGGCUUCCGGAGCUAACGCGUUAAAUCGACCGCCUGGGGGAGUACGGCCGCAAGGUUAAAACUCAAAUGAAUUGCGGGUCUAGCUG
This 581-nucleotide ribosomal RNA is filed under the name uncultured bacterium. RNAcentral describes it as "partial 16S ribosomal RNA". It matches the Rfam family "Bacterial small subunit ribosomal RNA", at positions 355 to 926 of the family's 1533-position model. The record is from RNAcentral.